Molecule: ribosomal RNA, 464 nt
Filed under: Vreelandella stevensii
Lineage: Bacteria; Pseudomonadati; Pseudomonadota; Gammaproteobacteria; Oceanospirillales; Halomonadaceae
Description: partial 16S ribosomal RNA
Rfam family: Bacterial small subunit ribosomal RNA
Source: RNAcentral
CCUCGGGCGGCAGCAGUGGGGAAUAUUGGACAAUGGGCGAAAGCCUGAUCCAGCCAUGCCGCGUGUGUGAAGAAGGCCUUCGGGUUGUAAAGCACUUUCAGUGGGGAAGAAAGCCUUGGGGCUAAUACCCUCGAGGAAGGACAUCACCCACAGAAGAAGCACCGGCUAACUCCGUGCCAGCAGCCGCGGUAAUACGGAGGGUGCGAGCGUUAAUCGGAAUUACUGGGCGUAAAGCGCGCGUAGGCGGUCUGAUAAGCCGGUUGUGAAAGCCCCGGGCUCAACCUGGGAACGGCAUCCGGAACUGUCAGGCUAGAGUGCAGGAGAGGAAGGUAGAAUUCCCGGUGUAGCGGUGAAAUGCGUAGAGAUCGGGAGGAAUACCAGUGGCGAAGGCGGCCUUCUGGACUGACACUGACGCUGAGGUGCGAAAGCGUGGGUAGCGAACAGGAUUAGAUACCCCUGUAGUC